This 446-nucleotide ribosomal RNA is filed under the name uncultured bacterium. RNAcentral describes it as "SSU rRNA". It matches the Rfam family "Bacterial small subunit ribosomal RNA", at positions 26 to 518 of the family's 1533-position model. The record is from RNAcentral.
AGAGCGAACGCUGGCGGCAGGCUUAACACAUGCAAGUCGAACGGACCCUUCGGGGUUAGUGGCGGACGGGUGAGUAACACGUGGGAACGUGCCCUUUGGUUCGGAACAACACAGGGAAACUUGUGCUAAUACCGGAUGUGCCCUUCGGGGGAAAGAUUUAUCGCCAUUGGAGCGGCCCGCGUCUGAUUAGCUUGUUGGUGAGGUAAAAGCUCACCAAGGCGACGAUCAGUAGCUGGUCUGAGAGGAUGACCAGCCACAUUGGGACUGAGACACGGCCCAAACUCCUACGGGAGGCAGCAGUGGGGAAUCUUGCGCAAUGGGCGAAAGCCUGACGCAGCCAUGCCGCGUGGAUGAUGAAGGUCUUAGGAUUGUAAAAUCCUUUCAGCGGGGACGAUAAUGACGGUACCCGCAGAAGAAGCCCCGGCUAACUUCGCGCCAGCAGCCGC